Molecule: ribosomal RNA, 253 nt
Filed under: uncultured bacterium
Lineage: Bacteria
Description: partial 16S ribosomal RNA
Rfam family: Bacterial small subunit ribosomal RNA
Source: RNAcentral
UACGUAGGGGGCAAGCGUUGUCCGGAAUCAUUGGGCGUAAAGCGCGUGUAGGCGGCUCGAUAAGUCUGCUGUGAAAGUCCAGGGCUCAACCCUAGAAUGCCGGUGGAAACUGUCGAGCUAGAGUCCGGAAGAGGCGAGUGGAAUUCCUGGUGUAGCGGUGAAAUGCGCAGAUAUCAGGAGGAACACCAAUGGCGAAGGCAGCUCGCUGGGACGGUACUGACGCUGAGACGCGAAAGCGUGGGGAGCAAACAGG